Long non-coding RNA from Lytechinus pictus (painted urchin), 1099 nucleotides. RefSeq lists it as uncharacterized. Lineage: Eukaryota; Metazoa; Echinodermata; Echinoidea; Temnopleuroida; Toxopneustidae. The record is from RefSeq and is a predicted model, not a curated record. The transcript has 3 exons.
UGGCAGACUGCAAACCGAAAGGCGGCAUUGAAAGUUUUUUUUUCUGUGUAUGUGAGGUUUUUUGUCAAAGAAUAUUCAACAUGGCUCCUGGUGGCCGAUGCAACGAACCUCGUCGCCAUAAAGACGGCCUACUGGGGACAUGUUGCUGCGUCUUCAUAGCGGGGGGUUUCGUAGUCGGAAUCAUUCUGCUCAUCUUGUAUUCAACUGGCAGCAUCUAAUAUAUUGGGAAUAAUUGGAAUAUCAGAUCUCCAUCAUUACAGCGUCACUAGCCAAAGAAAUGAUGAACAUGUGACCAAAAACACUUACCCAAAUACGUUAUAUAGACAUCUAUUUAUGUUAUAAGGUAAAUCCAGCACUAUAUCAGAACAGCUACAUCCAUGUCAGCGACGACUUCCAAAACCAUUAAGAAAUAAUCUACUACUCGAAACAACAAACUAAGAUCACUUUUUUCGAUAUGACUGUUUUUAAAUUUAGAUUAGAGUUGCGAAAGACAAAUCAAGGGCUUAGGAUACAAGUCUUAUUCUGGCUAGGAGAACGGUUAAGAAAACUUGGAAGACUAAGGAUGUUGAGGUCCCCACAACUCAUAUUUGCCGUUCAAAUGGCUGAAAUCCAUGGCUGAAAUAAAUGUUUUAAAAUCUCUUUGACGUUGACUACCGGAACGACUCUAUAAUAACUUGUAAAUGAUCAUUUAAUCUUUGAAAGUGAAGAAUUAAAUCAAUGCUGACUUUCCUCCAAAAAAUCAUCAGUUAUCAGUGAAAUUCGAUAAAUAUCCCUUUGAAUAUCAGCUAUGAACUAAACUGCUAAUGUUAUAGGACAUUGCUUGUAAAGGAAAGUGGUAGUAAAUAGUGUAAACCCUGACGAAUUUGAUAUACAUUUAUUUAUGAAGAGCAAACAUCUCAAUGCCAAAAAGUAAAGAUAUCUUUUUAAAUGUGAACACUGUAUUUAAAGUAGUGAAAUUGAUCGUUUCUAUUUCAAACUAACAUUCUUAAUUACAUACAGUCCAGCAUUUAGUAGUUGGUAUUUAUUGAAUUUUCCGCCUUAUAAUUUUAAAUUAUGUACAAUAGCCAAAAUGAAUGCCCUCCCCUACCCCCAACAUAUU